AUCCCGGCCCUUUUCAGGGCCAUUCAUAUCUUAAUGUAAGCCACCU
Non-coding RNA from Octopus bimaculoides (California two-spot octopus), 46 nucleotides. The record is from Rfam. NCBI's taxonomy places the organism in Eukaryota, Metazoa, Mollusca, Cephalopoda, Octopoda, Octopodidae.